This 852-nucleotide ribosomal RNA is filed under the name uncultured Bacteroidota bacterium. Its description in RNAcentral is "bacterial SSU rRNA". It matches the Rfam family "Bacterial small subunit ribosomal RNA", at positions 31 to 874 of the family's 1533-position model. Lineage: Bacteria; Pseudomonadati; Bacteroidota. The record is from RNAcentral.
GAACGCUGGCUACAGGCUUAACACAUGCAAGUCGUGGGGAAACGGCAUUAUGUGCUUGCACAUUCUGGACGUCGACCGGCGCACGGGUGAGUAUCGCGUAUCCAACCUGCCCCUUACUUGGGGAUACCCCGUUGAAAGACGGCCUAAUACCCGAUGUGUUUCAUUGACGGCAUCCGAUAUGAAACAAAGGUUUUCCGGUAAGGGAUGGGGAUGCGUCUGAUUAGCUUGUUGGCGGGGCAACGGCCCACCAAGGCGACGAUCAGUAGGGGUUCUGAGAGGAAGGUCCCCCACAUUGGAACUGAGACACGGUCCAAACUCCUACGGGAGGCAGCAGUGAGGAAUAUUGGUCAAUGGACGCAAGUCUGAACCAGCCAAGUAGCGUGCAGGAUGACGGCCCUAUGGGUUGUAAACUGCUUUUAUGUGGGAAUAAAGUGGCGCACGUGUGCGCCAUUGCAUGUACCUCAUGAAUAAGGACCGGCUAAUUCCGUGCCAGCAGCCGCGGUAAUACGGAAGGUCCGGGCGUUAUCCGGAUUUAUUGGGUUUAAAGGGAGUGUAGGCGGUCUGUUAAGCGUGUUGUGAAAUUUAGGUGCUCAACAUUUAACUUGCAGCGCGAACUGUCAGACUUGAGUACACGCAGCGCAGGCGGAAUUCAUGGUGUAGCGGUGAAAUGCUUAGAUAUCAUGAGGAACUCCGAUCGCGAAGGCAGCCUGCGGGAGUGUUACUGACGCUUAAGCUCGAAGGUGCGGGUAUCGAACAGGAUUAGAUACCCUGGUAGUCCGCACAGUAAACGAUGGAUGCCCGCCGUUGGCGCCCUGCGCCUGCGGCCAAGCGAAAGCAUUAAGCAUCCCACCU